AUACUUACCUGGCAGGGGCGAUACCAUGAUCACGAAGGUGGUUCACCCAGGGUGAGGCUCUGCCAUUGCACUUGGGUGGUGCUGACCCUUGCGAAUUCCCCAAAUGCGGGAAUCUCGACUGUAAGGGGCAGUCGUGGGCUGGAGGUUAGGGAUCUGGCCCUGU
This is a small nuclear RNA of Pygocentrus nattereri (red-bellied piranha), 163 nucleotides long. RefSeq annotates it as U1 spliceosomal RNA. NCBI's taxonomy places the organism in Eukaryota, Metazoa, Chordata, Actinopteri, Characiformes, Serrasalmidae. The record is from RefSeq and is a predicted model, not a curated record. The transcript has a single exon.